This 419-nucleotide ribosomal RNA is filed under the name uncultured Alphaproteobacteria bacterium. RNAcentral's name for it is "bacterial SSU rRNA". It matches the Rfam family "Bacterial small subunit ribosomal RNA", at positions 57 to 524 of the family's 1533-position model. Lineage: Bacteria; Pseudomonadati; Pseudomonadota; Alphaproteobacteria. The record is from RNAcentral.
GCAAGUCGAGCGCACCUUCGGGUGAGCGGCGGACGGGUUAGUAACGCGUGGGAACGUGCCCUUUUCUGCGGAAUAGCCACUGGAAACGGUGAGUAAUACCGCAUACGCCCUUCGGGGGAAAGAUUUAUCGGAGAAGGAUCGGCCCGCGUUAGAUUAGGUAGUUGGUGGGGUAAUGGCCUACCAAGCCUACGAUCUAUAGCUGGUUUAAGAGGAUGAUCAGCAACACUGGGACUGAGACACGGCCCAGACUCCUACGGGAGGCAGCAGUGGGGAAUCUUAGACAAUGGGGGCAACCCUGAUCUAGCCAUGCCGCGUGAGUGAUGAAGGCCUUAGGGUCGUAAAGCUCUUUCGCCAGGGAUGAUAAUGACAGUACCUGGUAAAGAAACCCCGGCUAACUCCGUGCCAGCAGCCGCGGUAAU